Molecule: small nucleolar RNA, 205 nt
Organism: Jaculus jaculus (lesser Egyptian jerboa)
Lineage: Eukaryota; Metazoa; Chordata; Mammalia; Rodentia; Dipodidae
Gene: SNORA73
Rfam family: Small nucleolar RNA SNORA73 family
About the family: U17 (SNORA73A and SNORA73B) also known as E1 belongs to the H/ACA class of small nucleolar RNAs (snoRNAs).
Source: Ensembl
ACAAGGAGGAUACCCCAGGGGGUCAGUCUCCCCAGGUUCUGUCCAAGUGGUGUAGGGGAGUAUAGGGCUCUGCAUCAUGAUGUAUAACCCCUUUCCACAUCAAUGGAGAUUAAGCUGGGCUUUCAAGUCUAUGUCUGCAUAUUUCCAUGACUUCUCAGAGUCCUAUGGUCGAUGAUUAAAGAGACACAUCAUGCAGGAGACAGUA